AGCUCGAGUUUCUCUUCAUUAACACAUAAAUCUUUCGCCUUUUACUAAAGAUUUCAUUGAAGGCGAACUUUUUGCGAGUGACCUGUAUUUUUGGAGGCUCUGAUCACAGCAGAGCU
RNAcentral lists this small nuclear RNA (116 nucleotides) under Sinocyclocheilus rhinocerous. RNAcentral describes it as "U5 spliceosomal RNA (ENSSRHG00000021262.1)". It matches the Rfam family "U5 spliceosomal RNA". Rfam says of the family: U5 RNA is a component of both types of known spliceosome. The precise function of this molecule is unknown, though it is known that the 5' loop is required for splice site selection and p220 binding, and that both the 3' stem-loop and the Sm site are important for Sm protein binding and cap methylation. Lineage: Eukaryota; Metazoa; Chordata; Actinopteri; Cypriniformes; Cyprinidae. The record is from Rfam by way of RNAcentral.